This 497-nucleotide ribosomal RNA is filed under the name uncultured bacterium. RNAcentral's name for it is "partial 16S ribosomal RNA". It matches the Rfam family "Bacterial small subunit ribosomal RNA", at positions 28 to 507 of the family's 1533-position model. The record is from RNAcentral.
GAUGAACGCUGGCGGCGUGCCUAAUACAUGCAAGUCGAGCGAACAGACGAGGAGCUUGCUCCUCUGACGUUAGCGGCGGACGGGUGAGUAACACGUGGAUAACCUACCUAUAAGACUGGGAUAACUUCGGGAAACCGGAGCUAAUACCGGAUAAUAUAUUGAACCGCAUGGUUCAAUAGUUAAAGACGGUUUUGCUUUCACUUAUAGAUGGAUCCGCGCCGCAUUAGCUAGUUGGUAAGGUAACGGCUUACCAAGGCGACGAUGCGUAGCCGACCUGAGAGGGUGAUCGGCCACACUGGAACUGAGACACGGUCCAGACUCCUACGGGAGGCAGCAGUAGGGAAUCUUCCGCAAUGGGCGAAAGCCUGACGGAGCAACGCCGCGUGAGUGAUGAAGGUCUUCGGAUCGUAAAACUCUGUUAUUAGGGAAGAACAAAUGUGUAAGUAACUAUGCACGUCUUGACGGUACCUAAUCAGAAAGCCACGGCUAACUACGUG